GUGAAGGAGAGUGAGGGAGAGGGACUGUUUCAGUUUUGGGAGGAUUACCGAGUUGAAUGAAUCGCUGGUUAACUCAGUGAUUUGAUACAAGAAGAGGCGUUCUACAGGAGGGAACUUGAACCAGUAAGUGUCGAAGUAGGUGAGCGGAAGAGUGAACGGAGCCGCGGUUGUUGAGUUGGAGGAGAACGGGGUGAGUUUAGUAACCUCGUGAACUUUUACUUUGCUAUUGUUUUGGGUUUCCGCCAUGAGACUGAUGAUCAGUAGAGAUGAAAUCAGAUGAUCAAGCAAAGAGAUAAGUAGAGACCAGUAGAAUGGCCUUAAGUAAUGAUAUGGCCUCUUCAAGAUUCGGCAAUGAUAUAUGGCCCAUUCAAUUGCAAAAAUGGCCUUUAGUAAUGUAGAAUCAGAAAUAUGGACAGAAACGUCCACCUUAUCUUUUCCAUUUUUAGUUCAAUGAAAGCUAAGCUGUACUAUAUAAAAAAAAAAAAGCAAAGAGAUAAGAAGCAAUGCUAAGCUGUAGGCUGUAGCUGUUUGGGGCAUCUCUGGCUUUUGAAAACGUGUUUAAGUCAAAUUGGCCCUUGACAUAAUGACCCGUUAUCAUUAAUUUAUGAAUUAAAUCGCGUGGAAAAAUGGAAAUGAAUAAUAAUGCGAGUAAAUUUGCGGCGUGACGAGAGAUGGCGGUAAAAUUUUUUUUUGGUUUUGACCACGAGAUAUUUUGGGGAGAACCCUAAUUAUGGAAGAUAUUUUUAAGCUUGUACCAUAAUUUAGAUUAGAAGUCUCCGCUCGAACUGAGAGACACAAGUUCUUCCAAUAAUGACGACUUUCCUGCAACUCGAACUGGGGAGCAAACCCAAUCAAAUCACUUAAGGGGACUCUAUUGCCAGUAGAGCCAACACUUUAUUAAUAGAUGACAGUAAAAUUUGACAAAGGAGAAAGUGAUAUUCACAUUAUUUGUCAUCAUUCAUUCACUCCAUGCUGUUAAAUUAUAGCACAAGUUAAUUAUUAAAAAUAAUGUCCACAGCCCACUAGCCCAUUGGCUACAACCCAGGUACUUCACUUUGGGUGCCAAGCUGGGGCUUAAUUUUAUCUCAGAACUAGAAAAUAGAAUUGCGUUUCACGCGGUUUUAAAAAAAGAAUUUAGUAUUAUCAUUUUUUUCUUACUUUACACUUGAUGAAACUGAUAAAAAAUAUGAAUUGAUUUUUUUUAAGAUGAGGCAGCCUUAUAAAAAAUUAAAAAAAAACCAUUAGCCAACAAUACAAAUAAAGAAGCAACGCAAGAUAAAGAAUAAAAUGAGAGAAUAUAUUAUACAAUGAUUUUAUUCAUUCCAAUUGUGUGUGUAUAAAACAAAAAGAUGAGCUCUCCUUUUAUAGUUACAUAAUCACUCCAUGAAAUUAAUGAAAAAUUAUGGAUCAUAAUUCCUUGUGAGAUAGUGAGAGUUAUAUGGAAGCUAAAAGUUACUAAUGGGAGAUAGUAGAGAGACUAAGAGAUAUAUGUUAUGAACAUCUACAUUUAUUUUAAUAAAUUCAUAACAUUUCUCCUUGCAUGUUCAUUACAAAUAAUAUGCCUCAUUAAAACCUUUACUUAUUGUGUAAUAACAAUCAAAUUAAUUGUGAGAAGAUAAAAAACUAAAUCUAAAAGAAAAUUUAUCUAUUUAUUAGAUAAUAGAGAAUAUACAAAGAUGAGAAAUGGUGAUGCCACAUCACCUCCUCAAGUCCCAACUUUAUAUAUAUACUAGAAAAUAAAACGCGCUUCACGCGGCUUUGAAAAAAGAAUUUAGUAUUAUUUUUUUUUUCUUACUUUACACUUAAUGAAACUGAUAAAAAAUAUGAAUUGAUUUUUUUAAAGAUGAGGCAGUCUUAUAAAAAAUAAAAAAAAACUAUUAGUCAGCAAUACAAAUAAAGAAGCAACGCAAGAUAAAGAAUAAAAUGAGAGAAUAUAUUACAGAGUGAUUUUAUUCAUUCCAAUUGUGUGUGUACAAAACAAAAAGAUGAGCUCUCCUUUUAUAGUUACAUAAUCACUCCAAGAAAUUAAUGAAAAAUUAUGGAUCAUAAUUCCUUGUGAGAUAGUGGGAGUUAUAUGGAAGCUAAAAGUUACUAAUGGGAGAUAGUAGAGAGACUAAGAGAUAUAUGUUAUGAACAUCUACAUUUAUUUUAAUAAAUUCAUAACAUUUCUCCUUGCAUGUUCAUUACAAAUAAUAUGCCUCAUUAAAACCUUUACUUAUUGUGUAAUAACAAUCAAAUUAAUUGUGAGAAGAUAAAAAACUAAAUCUAAAAGAAAAUUUAUCUAUUUAUUAGAUAAUAGAGAAUAUACAAAGAUGAGAAAUGGUGAUGCCACAUCACCUCCUCAAGUCCCAACUUUAUAUAUAUAUAUAUAUAGAUAUAUAGAUAUAGAGAGAUAGAGUCGGUAUUCCUCUGCUUAAGAGUCGGUUUCUUUCAGUAAUAUAUGAAUUAUGAAGACGGAAUAUUGGAGCUGUAUCUUAAAACCGCAUCAAAGACAAAGAGUCCUGAUAUGAAAUGUUAGUAGGCUGUAUUUUAAAACCACAUUAAAAACAAAGAGUUCCAUGGAUUUUUUAUUGUAAAUAUCAGUGUACUUCUGAUUGUAAUAUCAGUGUAUAAAAAAUAAUAAUAAUGUCCAUAAUUUUUAACACGUGACAAAUUUUAUAAAAAAUAAUAAUAAUGUCCAUAAUUUUUAACACGUGACAAAUUUUAUCCAAUGAUACAUUAUUUAAAAUCCUAAAUAAAUAAUGUCCACAAUUUUUAAUAUGUGACGAGCUUUAUUGGGUGACACAUUAUUUAAAAUAUAAAUUAUAUACUUAUUUUCAAAUGCUCGACUUUGUUUUUUCUAAUGGAAGUCCGCCGUGUGUAAAUUCACAAAUUAUAAAAUUAUAUUAUUAUUAUUGUUAUUAUCAUCAUCAUCAUCAUCAUCUCACUGUAUCAAUAGGACGACAUAUGCUGACCUAAUAAAAACAAUAACAGAUAUCAAGUAUAAAACAUGGAACAAUUAAUCAUAUCAAUCUAUAAAUCAAACUAUUGUGUAGGCUUGAUCAGAAGAUUUUUUAUUAGUUUUCUUUAAUUAAUUAUCCGAGUUCAAAUCUCAAUGUGGAAUUAAUCCACCCUUAUCUUUUAAAAAUUAAUAAAUAAAAAAUUAUGAGGGAAUGAAUCGAUAAUUUAAUUUUUUUUUAUACUUGCCGCUGAAAUAUAAAUCUUAAGGACAGUAAGGACCUAAAAAUUAAUUUUAACUUCUACAAAUAGAUAAAUAAAUCUAUAUUUAUUGAAACACAUAAUAAUAACAUUUUUUUUCCCUUUUCACUGGAUCUUAUCAAUACACAAGUAUAAUACUGUAGACAAAUGAGAUUGAUUGAUCGUGCAGCGGAGACGCAGGAGUAAUUUCACCUGUACUCUUUUAUUAUUCAUUGACAAUAGAAAUUCAAAGAAAUUAAACUUGUUUAAUGUCGAAGCCACGCACUUGAGGGUCAACUAAUGUUUACCAGCCACACCAUAAUUGUGCCACCAAGGAUUGUCCCUCUGGAGAUUCCCACCCUUGUCUGUUUUCACAUACAACAGAAAUUUUGUCAUUAAAUAAUUAUAUCUGAAAGCCUAUUCAUAAACUUAGAAUCAAACAUUUCCUUUUAAGUACUGUGUAUGAGACUCUGAGCUGAUUAUCUGAAUGGAUUAAAGUUAAAGAAAAAAAAAAUAAAAAAAUAAAAAUUGAUACUCACAAAUUGAAUGAUUGUUGGUAGCUUCCCACAGAGUCGUCGACCUCGGGGAUGCUGCUGAGGCUAGGAGAAGCAUGAUAACAAAGAUCACCUGCCAAACAAGGAAGCACUUCUUUGAAGUCAUUUUCCCUUAAUAAGUUGUGUAAUACUCUUCAAGUUCAAACGUUUUUGUCUAUUUAUAGGGGGCCGUGGAACCAUGAAACUUCUUAACUACCUCGUAAGUAAUGUCAUUUGAUUAAAAAAAGGUGGAAAAUCUCAAGUAAUUUUUUUAAAAAAUUUUUAAACUAGCAAUGGGUGUAUUGAAUUGACCACUAAACCCUUACAGCUUUCACAAUCUCUCUUAUUUCCUUUGACGUUAAAAUUUUAAUUAAAAAAAAUAGUUGUUUGUUAGCUGAGAUAAGGUUUUUUAUGUUAAGGAUAAGCGGUCAAAACAGAAAAGAUACAUAUUAGUGGGUUCAUUCAUUCAUGUAGGCCACUUUUAUUAUUAAAUAUUUAAUUGAUAUCACUAAUUAUUGGAACUAAAGUCUAAGCAUGUUUUCUUGAUUUUAUUUUCUUUUCAGUUCCAAAUCCACUGCGAAAAAGUUGCCUCGACUAUUCUUGGAAAGUCUAGAUGUGGAGCGGCAAUUACUUCAAUUAAUUUUAAUUAUAAAAUUAGCACCAACUCACGUUACUGUUUGACGUGGGUUAUGAACUGUCACCUACCCACCAAUGAACCCCAUUCUAAUUUCAUUAAGAUAAACUUUUUGUAUAAAGGGUAUAAGUUUCUUUAGCCCCUAUAUUACGAAGUUGGUGACCGUUUAGUUAUUAUAUUUUUUAAAAUAACUCAAAAUAUCUCUACUAUUAUUUUUUGUUCCUUUUAUCUUACUUAUAUAAUAUUAUUCUCUUACAAUAAUAUUUUUUUUUUGGACAUUAAUGAAAAGAAAAAAAUUAAAUUAAUAAUUUAACCCGAAAAAAUAAAAUAAAAACAAAAAGAAUAUCUAUUAAUUUUUGUGAAAGCUCACAUAUAUCCAUAAAAAAAUAAUAUUCUAAAAAAGUAAACUACCAUUUUUUGACAUUAAUAAAAAUAUUAAUAUAUUAACUCCUCUAUAGAAUAUUCCAUAAAAUUAAUAUAUACUCUUUUUGUUUCUAUUCUAUUUUUUGGAGUUAAAUUGGUAAUUUAAAUUUUUUUAUAAUUAAUGUAAGAAAAUACAUUAUUGUAAAAGUAAGCCAAAAGGAAUAAAAAAUAAUGACAGGAAUAUCUUGAGGUAUUUUUAAAAAUAUAAAAAUUAAACGGGCACUAAUAUCAAAUUAUAGAAACUUAACGAGCUUUACCCUUAGUUCAAAACUUGAGAAACUUUUAUAUUAAUUCAAUUAUUAUUUACUCUUAUGUGGGGGAUAGAGAUCCAAUCGUACUCAAUAAUAAAAAGAUGCAUGGCUGAAUAUCUAUCCACCACCUACGGUUUCACACUUUAUUGAAAAUACAUAAACACUUUUUUUUUUCUUUUUCAACUAUCCACUUAAAGUUAUAAAGUAUAUCAAUAUUCCACUUUUCCAUUAGCAUUGAGAGUAUUAUGCAGAAUAUGAAUAAAAUGAUUAUUUUUACCCUUGAGUUAAGGGCAUUUGUGAUUUUGUAUAAUAAAAUAAUAAAAGAAAAUGAAGUAAAAAACAGAAAAUAGUUUCCUUCAUUGUCCUCUCCUUAUUCAAAUUAUAGGAUUUAAAAAAUAAACAAAAUUUGUAUUAAAUCUUUCAUCACCAACAUAAAAUCAAAAUUAAAAAAUAAAAAUAUCUCGCCAUCUAAAUCCUAACCCUACGCCGCCCGUGCUUCAAUUCCGUACUUCUCAUUAAAUUGAAUUUACCAAGCACUUUUCCAUGCAUCAUUCGUGGUUUUCCUUGAUUCCAUUUCAUAGUUUCACUUCAAUUUUGAAACCACCAAAAUUACCCUUCACCUAAACUUAACCUAGAGACAUUCCAUUCUCUCUCAAUUGCUUCAAUUUUUUAUCUACUCUCUUCAAUUGUCGUCAUCAAAAACUUUCCCACCAUUUUUUUUUGUUGGUUCCAUUUUAUGUUCGAACUUCUAUUUUGAAAACCCCCCAUAAUCGCCUCUCACCAAAAUCGAACUUAGACAAUGGCUGGUGCUGAAAGCUCUAGUGCACCAAGACAGCUGUACUCAAAACCACCAAAAUCUUCGAAUCAACAAAUCUUCAAUGUCCAAAUCUUGUUUCACAGUUAAAAAUGGAAGGAUUUUAGUGAAAAUAAUAUUGAGAUUGAAUAGUAGAACCAAGUUUCUAAAACAAUAAAACUCUGGAGGACGAUUUGUAAGCCUCAGUUUUCAAUGAGGUUCAUAUCACAUAUACUUCACUUAUAUACAAGCUAAGAAUACAUAUGAUAAACAUUAGCUUACAAGAUAACUACAAGGAUAAUUACAAGACUAACGAUAACUACAAAGAUAAUUACAAGACUAACGAUAAGAAUAUUUUCAGUUUUAUCUUUAUCGUUAUCACACCCCCGCAAGCUGACAGGACAAGAACAAACUGGAAGCUUGGAAAUUAGAUAGCAAAAGCGAGAAGUAGACAGGUCUUUAGUAAGACAAUCAGCAAGUUGAUCGAGAGUAGAGAUAUAACGAACAUCAAGCUCUCCGCGAACAAUAUUUUCUCGAACAUAAUGAUAGUCAACCUCUACAUGACGAGUCCGGGCAUGAAACACAGGAUUGGAGGCCAAGGAAAUGGCACUUAUGUUAUCACACCACAUGCGAGGACAAGACAGAGGAAUAUGUAAGUCUUUGAACAAAGAUCGAAACCAAGAUAAAGUAGCAGCUGUAUAUGCAAGCUAUCUGUACUCAGCCUCGGUACUGGAACGAGAAACCCUUUUUUGCUUCUUAGAACUCCAAGAAAUGAGAUUAGUGUUGUGCAAAUUUUAAUGUACUCGCAAGCGCACGAAUCUAUUGUAGUAUAGAUUUAUGGUGACGAGUGUCGAUCCCACGAGGAGGUGGAUUUUAAUUGUGUAUAGAAUUAAUUUUGUAAAUGGGUUGUUGGAUUUAUGGUGGAAAUGAUUUGGUAUAUGCUAAAACUUAAAUUAAAAUGGCGAGAAUAAAUUCUAAAAUUGGAAUUGCAAUGGCGAGAAUAAAUUGAAGAUAAUUCUAUUGAAAUGACGUACUUGGGUAUCUGGAUCCGUAUCAACAUGCAUCAUGGGCUAAAUAAUCCGUAUUAAUGCCAAUUAAAUCAUGAGGGGGGAAUCCACACCUCAUGAACCACGCUCUAAUCAAUAUGGUGCUAAGGGCUUAUCGUGCCAAAUAAUAAUAACUUUAUACUAGAGAGCCGGUGUAACCAAGGCGGUAUCUAGACAAGACUAUUAUUAUUUGUCGACGAGAAGUCAAAACAUCCACAAAAAUUAGAGGGGGAGAGAAAAUAAAUUUACCAAAUUAAGCCCAUGACACAUGUUGAGACUUCACCUUCAACCCAAGCUUGAAAGAAAAUUAGCCACUCAUAAUUGAACUAGGGGCAAAAUGGGAAUUUAUUAAAAUACGAAGAAAAUACAAGAUGGAGAAGGAAUUACAGAAAAUGGAUCCCAAAAAUGGAUUCAGAGAUAUCAAAUUAGGGGGGGGGGAGGCCCCUUUUUUAUAGAUACAUGGAGUAAAUCAUGGCCAUCGGAUUAAAAACAGUUUGGACGCUCAGGAUUGCGCCACGUCAUCAGUCAACAGUUUGACCACGCGGAUGAACAGUAACACGGAUUCAGAGAUAUCAAAUUAGGGGGGGGGGAGGCCCCUUUUUUAUAGAUACAUGGAGUAAAUCAUGGCCAUCGGAUUAAAAACAGUUUGGACGCUCAGGAUUGCGCCACGUCAUCAGUCAACAGUUUGACCACGCGGAUGAACAGUAACACGGUUUGACCCGACUUUGAACAGUAACGCGGUUUGACCCGGAUGAACAGUAACGCGGUUUGGUUGAAAAUAAUCCUGUGUGAUGCAUGCACCGUACGCGAGAUUUUUUGUCCACUGAUAUGCUGCCACGUCACCAUCAACAGUACAUGUGAAUAGUGCCAUUUUUCCUUUUAUGCUCCUCCUAAGGUUUUCGACCGUCCUGAGUUCAAAAGUGAUGUCCGUUUUGCCGUCUGAUCUCUCCUUUAUUGUGAAAUGACUAUAAUGCCCCUAAAAUACAUAAAAUACUUAAUUAAAAUAAAACACAUGUAAUUAAAUCACAAGAAGGUUAAAUAUAUAAAAGUAAGGGUUGUUAGUAAGACUUAAAAUGUAAAAUGACGGUUUUCUCCUUUAUAAAUAUGCAUUUUCUAACACUCAACACACCCCCCAACCAGCUUAUUGCUAGUCCCUAGCAAAUAAAGCGAAAACAAAAUUCAAAUUCAAAAUAAUUUUUUUUUUGUUUUAAUAGAAACACUCGUAUUUAUUCCAUCAGAUUAAUGAUAGCAAUCAAAUAAAAGUAUAAGCAUUAUCUCCAGUCUAAAGCAACAUCACACCCACAUCAACCAUCCACAUGAAUUAGCCCAGUAGACUUUGUUUUAGCUACUCUCAAGAAUGACAUGUCAAACCCCAAAAUCUCACUGGAAGUAGUGACACUCUCACAAAUAAAUUAAUCCCAAUAAAAAUAGUCACUCCAAUGAAUGGUAAUUGAGAGAGAAAAUAAUAAAGAAGUGAUAUCACAUGCUCUCACCAAGAUGAAAUAAAUAUGCCCUCAGCUUAGAAAUAAUACGAUCUCAAGUCAAAUAAAAUGUUAGUCAACCCACUUUAUUUAUCUUUUUUUUUUUUAAUUAUGCAUCACUACAUCUUUUUAGCCCAUAUAACUAGCUUCCACUUCAAAUUAUAGUUCCCUAAAAUCAAGAAGGACUUUUAUUAGGACGAAACGUAAGCUAGGGACAUGGCUAACAAAGAAGGAAAAUAAGGAAAACAAAGUGUAUGUUUGAGAAAAAUGCAGAGAUUUUUUUUUUUUUUUUUUUUUGGAAGUUGCAAGGUGGAUUUCACCUAUUUUUAUUCUUUUGAAACAACAACUUUUGUUUUUGUUUUUUUUUUAUUUGGCAUAACUUCACUGAACAAAAUAAUUAUUUACAUUUUCUCAAACAUAAAUAGGUGAUGGAACUUAUAAGAUAUCGGGUAAUACUCCAAAUCGGAGUGGGUCAAGAUGAUAAGUUGACAAAGAAAAGGUUUUUUUUUUUUUUUUUUUUUUUUAAAGGCUCAAAAGGGUUAACUAUGGAUAUUAAAUAAAAGGGAUGGCUUGAAAGGCUCAAACGGAUCAAAGAUGGCCUCUCCAUCGUCUUUUAGGGCUCUAAAUAAUCUUCCAUAUCUACUAGUUAGAUGGGCCUCCAAAUGUAGCAACACACUCUUUUUUCUUUUUCUUUUUUCUCUUUUUUUUUAUUUUACAAUUUUUUUUUUUUAAGGGUUAACUCAAAAGUAAUUUAGAGAUCGUGUAUAAAAUAAUAAACUGCUAAGCUGUAUAAAGAGUGGGCAAAAGGGUUAUUCUCCAAGAAAAAUAAUAGGCUCAAAAACUCACUUGGUACUUAUUAUGACAUGUUCAUUCCUUCAAGCAACUCACAUUUGUCUCCGACAUCAACAUGUAAAGUAGCAAACAUAGCGUAACAUCACUUAAGACAAAAGAUAAUACAAAUACUAAAAUUUGAAAUUAAUCAUGUCAUCCAAUGUUAAAACAAAUCACACAUUUUUUUUUUUUUUUUAAACAUCAUUCUACCCCCCAACCUAUUCUAAACAUGAAAGGAAAAAAUGCAUGCAGAAAUGUGAAAAUGAUGUAUAAAAACUAAUUAGAAAAGUUACACGUAAAAUGAUAGAAAACGAAAAUGAUUUUUUUUUUUUAAAAGAAGAUGCGUUUCUAGAGGAACUACACUCCAUAUUCAGCCAUCUUCGACUCAAAAGUUGGAAAAUGUAUAUUUAUAGAGGAGAAAUUAAAGAAGAAAAAUAAACAUAAACACAUAAUAAAGAAAAAGAAAAUGUCUGAAUUGUUUUUUUUUUUUUGAAUUUUUUUUUUCAAACAAUGAAGAUGCGUUUCUAGAGUAACUACACUCCAUAUUCAGCCAUCUUCAACACAAAAAGUUAGCAACAGUUAGUUUCUACAACAAAAAAUUAGUAAAAACUUAACCAAAAUUCCACAAUUGUCGACUAUUCCCUCCCCCCAACCAGAACGAAACAUUGUCCUCAAUGUUUGAAAUGAAAGAAGUAGAGUUUAAAAGACAUCACCUGGGUGGUGCAACACAGAAGAAAAUAUUUACAGGCGGAGAGUUAAAUCUAAUUUGUACUUCUUACUGCUGCUACUGUUACCAUCAUUAUUUGGGCGCUCCAACACAAAGGUCCAGGGGUCUGGCUCCGGUUUAUACGCUUGUAACAGAUCAAGUAGCUCAUUAGCAGUGUGAGCACAAAUAAAGAGUUUUUUCACAUUAGCGGGAAUGAAAUAGUUUUUUAUUGCAUGGUUAAGAAAUGCGAUAAAGCCAUCAUAAAAGUUAUUGACAUUUAACAAACCGAUGGGUGUUUGGUGGAUGUGCAGAUGGGCCCAAGAUGCUAGCGUGAUAAGUGCCUCUAGUGUUGCAAGAUCUCCUGGAAGGAAAAUAAAAGCAUCAGCAUGAUUAAGCAUUUCAGUUAUUCUUUCUUGCAUACCUGAGACGACUAACUCUUCUCCAGUUGAUGAGUCAGACGAACUGCCCAAUGGUUUUAGGACUCUUGGGAUGAUGCCUAACACUUGACUUCCUCUGAUAAAAGCUGCUUCUGAGACCAUUUUUGAUAACCCUCGAUUACCUCCUCCAUACACCAAGUGUAAUUUUCUCGCUGCUAUGCUUCGACCAAGAUCUAUGGCUGCCUCAACGAACUCUUUAUGUUUGCCAUAGGUAAAUCCAGAAAGCACACAAAUGUUCUUGAAUUGUCUAUUGGGAGUAGCUGACAUUGUGAUACUUCUCAAAAACAAUUUGUGAGUGCUUGACAAAAAGAAAUCACAUUUAAGAGUCUUGGUGAUAGUGGGUCAUGGUUGUGUAUGAGGUAAUAUGUCAGUGUCAAAUAACGCGUAAAGCACGUGCUCGCAAGUCAAAAAGAAAACAGUAAAAAGGAAAAAGCAAACAGUAAUAAAAUUAUUAAAGACAAUAAUGCAAACAAUAAGACAAUAGUGAAAUAAAAUAACAAUAAAGUAAAAGGAUAUUUACAGGUAGUUGCGACUGUGGCUCACAUCUUCCUCUGGUUUUACGUCCAGAAACGGCUUGAACGCCCUCUAUGGGUCGAGGAUAGGCUUCCUAUCCAGUUUUCUUAUAAACAGGCAAACAGGGUCGUUUAUAGUCAGAUUCCCGAGACUAUAUCGUGCAUGCUCUUUCUGGAAUAAUGGCCAUAACUGGAGAAUCGCUCCUUGCACAUAUCCACUGGGAUGCGUUUCAAGAGACAAAAGGAUAUCAUCCAAUGACUCCUUAUUCAAGCCAUCCCUAAUGAAUUGAAUCUUAUCUUCCCUGUUAUCAGACAUCAUUCCUAAAGAACAUGGGUUUUUAUUGCAACUCAUUCUGGCACACUUAUGACAAGCAACAGAAAUUCUUCGAGCUCGUCGUUUUCUUGCAUAAUUUCCUUUACCACAACCAGGCAUGUAUGCAAUAAAUUUUAGAGGUAACUCACCUGCCGAUCGUACUUUAGCCUCGAUUAACCAACGGAUGUCAGCAGGUAUGUUAUUUCUCAUGAGUAAUCGCAUGCGUUCGGACCGAGCUUUAUAGAUCGUAAGGAGGGCAUUCUGUGGAAGUGAAGGGAAUCGCUUGUGAAGCUUCGUUAGAAUCUCGUUUCUGUCCAUACCUUCGCCUCAGAAUAUCAGUUAUUAUGGGAAACUGAAGUAACCGACUUGAUUGUCACGGAGUACCGUUAUCCGCCACUUCACCGGGGUAACAAACUAAAGCACACAAAUAGAAAAACAAAUUAAAACACACAAAGAAAAUUAAAAUCGUCCUCUUAUUGAAUUUACCUCAAGCUCCAACUGGAUGUCGUAAACACUUCUCUCAAUGUCUCUGAGUUGGCUUUCUAAACCCUCAACAUAGGCUACUAACUCUGGUGGUUGUAGAGCCCAAAUGCGUUGUGUUUUACAAAAUUGAAUUUGCCUUUUGAGAUGAGUUUUGACACGUUGAAGUGGUUUAAGAAUGUUCAGGAGGAACGGUCUAAGUAUGAGACUCAUGAUUAAAAAUGAUAAGAGAAAACUUAAUGGUAAAAUAAACACACUUAUGCAAAAACAAUUUCAAUUAGCAAAAGAAUAAUAAUAAAAAGAAAGAAAGAAAAAUCAAAUCAACGAGAAGAAAAAAAAAAUCAAUUCAAAUUUGGUGGGUCACUCAAAUUUAUUUCGGUGUCUUCUUCAUGUGGUUGGUACUCUAGAUAUGACUUUAAUCUUUGACCAUUAACUUUAAACGUGACACCAUUCUUUGGGUCCUUAAUUUCAAUUGCCCCAUGUGGAAAAACAGUAUGAACAAUAAAUGGGCCAGACCAUCGAGAGCGUAACUUACCUGGGAAUAGGUGCAAGCGAGAAUUGAAUAAAAGCACUCUCUGACCUGGAGUGAACGAUUUUCUCAUAAUUUGCUUAUCAUGGAAGACUUUCAUUCGUUGCUUGUAAAUCUUGGCAUUUUCGUACGCGUCAUUGCGAAUUUCUUCAAGUUCUGCCAGCUGUAAUCUUCUUUCUGAGCUGGCUUGCUGCAUGUCAAAAUUGAAUUUCUUGAUGGCCCAAUAUGCACGAUGCUCGAGUUCCACAGGUAGGUGGCAAGCUUUUCCAUACACUAGCCUGUAGGGUGACAUCCCAAUCGGGGUCUUGAAAGCCGUUCUAUAUGCCCAUAAGGCAUCAUCAAGUCUUAAUGACCAAUCUUUUCUGUCCGGCCUCACCGUUUUUUCUAAUAUGUGCUUUAUUUCUCGAUUGGAGAUCUCAACUUGGCCACUGGUUUGCGGAUGAUACGGGGUCGCCACUUUGUGUGUGAUUGAAUACUUUGUCAAAAGAGCUUUGAAUGCUUUGUUACAAAAGUGGGCACCACCAUCACUGAUUAUCGCUCGAGGGAAUCCAAAGCGUGAAACAAUGUUGCUUUUCAAAAAUGCUAUCACCACCUUGUGAUCAUUGGUCCUACAUGGAAUAGCUUCUACCCAUUUUGAUACAUAGUCAACAGCAACCAAUAUGUAUUGAUGACCAAAAGACGGGGGAAAAGGUCCCAUGAAGUCGAUACCCCAUACGUCACAUCAUAUUCCUUCGCGUAAUGCUUCCCAUUCGUUGACACCUAUCACAUGAAGAACAGAAAGUAUAAGCGUCUCGAAAUAUAGAUGGCCAAUAGAAACCACAUUGUAAAACUUUAGUCGCGGUUUUCUUAGCACUGAAAUGGCCUCCACAAGCUUGUUCAUGGCAGAAUGAAAGGAUAUUCUGAAUUUCACUUUCUGGGACACAUCGUCUAACAAUUUGGUCUGCACAAUACUUGAACAAAUACGGGUCAUCCCAAAAGAAAUUCUUUAUCUCUGCAAAGAAUUUAGCCUUGUCUUGCUUGGUCCAAUGCUCUGGAAGUUUAUCUGUAACAAGAUAAUUAACUAUAUCAGCAUACCAAGGUAAUACUUCCACAUUCAUUAAUUGUUCAUCUGGAAAUGACUCAUUCAAUGGUAAUGAUUCUGUAAUUGUGUCAAAAUGGAGACGAGAGAGAUGGUCCGCCACAACAUUUUCUGACCCUUUCUUAUCUUUGAAUUCCAAGUCAAAUUCCUGCAAAAGUAACACCCAACGAAUUAGUCUAGCUUUUGCAUCUUUCUUUGUGAGAAGAUAUUUAAGAGCAGCAUGAUCUGUGAACACAAUUAUUUUACAACCAAUGAGAUAAGAUCGAAAUUUUUCCAAUGCAAACACUACUGCUAGCAUUUCUUUUUCAGUAGUUGAAUAGUUCAACUGUGCAUCAUUCAAUGUCAUACUAGCAUAGUAAAUAACAUGGGGAAUUCGAUCAACUCUUUGUCCUAAUACUGCUCCUACUGCAUAAUCAGAUGCAUCACACAUGAGCUCAAAUGGUAAUUUCCAGUUCGGGGCCUGAAUGAUGGGUGAUGAUGUCAACAACUGUUUUAAUUUUUCAAACGCCAUAAGACAUGAAUCAUUAAAGAUAAAAGGUACAUCCUUAGCAAGUAAAUUGCAUAAGGGUCUAGAAACUUUGCUAAAAUCUUUAAUGAAACGUCUAUAGAAACCAGCAUGCCCAAGGAAAGAUCUUACUUCUCUGACUGUUUUGGGUGGAGGAAGAUUAGAAAUGAGAUCCACCUUGGCUUUGUCAACCUCAAUACCUUUACUCGAAAUGAUGUGACCGAGAACAAUACCUUGUUUUACCAUAAAAUGGCAUUUCUCCCAAUUUAAGACCAAGUUCUUCUCGAUACAUCUCUGCAGAACUAGUGUUAGAUGAUGUAAACAUUGAUCAAAUGAAUCACCAAAGACAGAAAAGUCAUCCAUAAAGACUUCAAGAAAUCGUUCAACCAUAUCAGAAAAAAUGCUUAGCAUGCAUCGUUGAAAUGUAGCAGGUGCAUUACAUAAUCCAAAUGGCAUUCUCCUAUAUGCAAAUGUGCCAAAAGGGCAAGUGAAAGUAGUUUUCUCUUGAUCUUUUGGUGCUAUGGGAAUCUGAUUAUAUCCUGAGUAGCCAUCUAGAAAGUAAUAAAAUUCAUGGCCUGCUAAUCUAUCAAGCAUUUGAUCAAUAAAUGGUAAAGGAAAAUGGUCUUUACGUGUGACAGAAUUCAACUUUCUAUAAUCAAUGCAUACACGCCAUCCUGUAGUUACUCUAGUGGGUAUCAAUUCAUUAUCAGCAUUCGUAACUACUGUGACUCCUGACUUUUUGGGGACAACUUGUACAGGACUGACCCAUGAACUAUCAGAAAUUGGAUAAAUGAUACCUGCAUCUAAUAGCUUAAGGACUUCAGUUCUAACAACUUCUUUCAUGUUAGGAUUUAACCGACGUUGCAUCUCCCUAGUAGUUUUAGCAUUUUCAUCAAGGUGAAUGUAAUGCAUGCAGUCUACUGGGUUUAUACCUUUAAUGUCUGCUAUGGUCCAUCCUAAUGCCCCUUUGUGCUCUUUCAAAACAUCCAACAACUUACCUUUUUGUUCGUCAUUGAGGGAUGCUGAGAUGAUUACCGGUAGAGUACUUUCUUCUCCCAAAAACGCAUAUUCCAAAGUGUUGGGCAAUGGUUUGAGCUCGAGUUUCGGUGGUGAUUCUGAUGAUGGAAUGAGUUGCUUCUCUGAUGGUGCUAGUUGCUCAACUCUUGAUUUCCAUUUAUUAGUGUCCAUAGAUGGUGCUGAGUCAAGCAGGGCGUUGACCUCAUCAACCGAUCUGUCAAUAUCAAAAUCAAAACCAAAGUGAGUUAAACAUGUUUGUAAAGGAUCAUCACUAAGGUUUGAAAGAAAAGUGUCAUCAACUAAUGCUUCGAUUAAAUCCACAUCAACAAUUCCAUCAUCUGCACUGUGAGGUUGUUUGGCAAUGUUGAAGAUGUUCAUCUCCAUAGUCAUGUUGCCGAAGGACAACUGCAUAUUUCCAGUUCUACAUUGAAUGUGAGCAUCCGCAGUUGCCAAGAAAGGUCGGCCUAGAAUAAUGGGGAUGUGCUUCCUUGAAUCCUGUAUUGGUUGAGUGUCAAUUACAAUGAAGUCAACAGGAAAAUAAAAUUUGUCUACCUGGAUAAGCACGUCCUCCACAAUACCACGAGGUAUUUUUGUGGACCGAUCUGCAAGUUGUAACACCACUGGAGUUGGGUGUAAUUCUCCCAGUCCAAGUUUCACAAACACUGAAUAAGGUAACAGAUUUACACUAGCUCCUAAAUCCAACAAAGCAUUCUCAAUUGUGUGGUUCCCUAUACUACAUGAGAUAGUGGGGGAGCCUGGGUCUUUGCAUUUUAAAGGAAUUUUAUGUUGGAGUAUAGAACUAACGUUUUCUGUUAAAAAUGCCUUCUUUUGAACAUGCAUGUUUCUCUUUUUAGUACAAAGGUCUUUAAGAAACUUGGCAUAAGAUGGAACUUGUUUAAUAGCAUCAAGCAAAGGGAUGUUAACACUUACCUGUUUGAAGAUUUCAAGAAUCUCACCUGUGGAUUUUCCCUUUUUUCCUUUAGCUAACCUCUGAGAAAAUGGAGCUUUCGGAACAUAUUCUCGUGGGUUAGUUUCUUCUUUCUCCUCCGGUGAUGAGUCCUCAACAUUCACAGGUACAAUUUGAUUUUCUUUUGUCACCGGCAUCUCCACUUUGUUGUCGACUUCCUUUCCUUUUCGCAAGGUCAUUACUGCUUUGACCUCUCCAUGUUGCUGUGGUGAACUAGUACUUGCUUCAUGUACUCCUUUAGGAUUAGGCACUGAUUGACUUGGAAAUUUACCUUUCUCAACGGUCAUUGCCAAGGUCUGAACUGAAGAAGCAAGUUGUCCCACCAUCUUCUCGAGGCUUGAAACUGAUUGAGCUUGUGAGUUGAAGCCUGCUCUCAAUUCAUUUCGUAGUCCAUCAAUGGUGCGGUUCUAUUGCUCAAUCGUGGAGUGAGUAACAUUCUUGAAAUUUUGGAAUGCAUCCUCCCAUGGUCUGGGUUGAGAGUAGUUCUGAUUCUGAUUGAAUGGUCUAAAUGGGGGCUGAGAGGCUUGAGGAUUUUGUGGAAUUGGUGGAGCUGGAGCUGUUGGUCCAUUCUGUUGGAAUCCUUGAGACCAUGAAAAAUUGGGGUGGUCUCUCCAUCCAGGGUUAUAUGUGUUGGAGUAUGGGUUGUAAUUUGAUGGCUUUCUCAUUACACCUAUGGCAUUGGCUUGAUCUGAGUAUGAGUCAUGGUCAUGUGGCUCUGUUGAUUUAGCAGUCGAUAAUGAUGCUAUUUGUCGAGCAAGACCUUCAACCAUCUCCUUGACUUCUUUGAUUCCCGAAGUUGACUCGCCAAUUUGAACCUCAUUCACUCCUUUAAUCCUUCUAGUAUUCCUGAGUGAUCGACUCCGUUGUUGGGAAUUGUCCGCUUGUCGCUGGAAGAAUUCCCAAAUUUCUGAUGCACUUUUUGACAUUAGCUCUCCUCCACUUGUUGCCAUUAGCCAUUCUUGCACAUUUGGUAGUAAUCCCUCCAAAAAGUAUUGGCAUUGGUGCCAUUUCUCGUACCCAUGAUGUGGACACUUCAAGAGUAGCCCAUUGAAUCGCUCCCAUGUUUCGAAAAAUUGCUCGUCCUCUCUCUGGGUAAACUCCGAGAUUUCCCUGCGAAUAGCAUUGGUUUUAUGCACUGGGAAAUAUUUAUUUAAAAAUUUUGUAACCAUUUGUUCCCAUGAUGCAAUGCUAUUAGCAGGCAAUGUAUUAAGCCAUGAACGAGCUCUAUCUUUUAAAGAAAAUGGGAAUAGUCUAAGUUUAACAUCAUCAUCUGAAAAAUUCUCAUAUUUGAAUGUUUGACAAAUGGCAUGAAAAUCAUUCAAAUGAUUAUAUGGAUCCUCAUUUUCUAGGCCAUAAAAUGUAGGGAGACAAUUUAACACACUAGGUUUUAAUUCAAAACUCCUAGCAGCUACAUUUGGGUAUCUUAUGCAUGACGUGCUCAAAUUAGCUAAGGGACUAAAAUAGUCCUUAAAUGGCCUCUCCUGUGGUGCUUGUAAAUCCAUUUUAUUUUUAACGUGUUUGUGUGUGCGAAGUGUUUUUUCUAAUUCAAGGUCUAUAGGUUCAAGAUUAGGUAAUAAUGACCUACGACCAUGCAUGCAAAAUAAAUAAAAUAAAAAUAAAGAUGCAAACAAAACAAAAAUAAAGAUGGGAACAAAACAAAUAAAAAUAAAGAAGAGGGAGAAAUUACGAUACUAACCUUAUUGCGCUAUUACAACCUUUCUAUAAAAAUACACAAAAAUAAAUACGUGAAAGAAAUUAACUAAAAAUUAAAUUAAUAAGAUAAACAAAAAAAUUACAAAGAAAAAAUAAAUGGAAAAUUAAAUUACAAAAUUUUAAAGAAGAGAAAAAGAAAAGAAAUACUAACCUUUAAAUGUAGAUUCACUUUUUUUUUCUUUUUUUUUUAAUAAUAAAAAAAUACAAGAAAACAAAUAAAAGAAAUUAUUCACAAAAAUUAAUUCUAUGAAUUAAAAUUACUUACCUCCCCGGCAACGGCGCCAAAAACUUGUUGUGCAAAUUUUAAUGUACUCGCAAGCGCACGAAUCUAUUGUAGUAUAGAUCUAUGGUGACGAGUGUCGAUCCCACGAGGAGGUGGAUUUUAAUUGUGUAUAGAAUUAAUUUUGUAAAUGGGUUGUUGGAUUUAUGGUGGAAAUGAUUUGGUAUAUGCUAAAACUUAAAUUAAAAUGGCGAGAAUAAAUUCUAAAAUUGGAAUUGCAAUGGCGAGAAUAAAUUGAAGAUAAUUCUAUUGAAAUGACGUACUUGGGUAUCUGGAUCCGUAUCAACAUGCAUCAUGGGCUAAAUAAUCCGUAUUAAUGCCAAUUAAAUCAUGAGGGGGGAAUCCACACCUCAUGAACCACGCUCUAAUCAAUAUGGUGCUAAGGGCUUAUCGUGCCAAAUAAUAAUAACCUUAUACUAGAGAGCCGGUGUAACCAAGGCGGUAUCUAGACAAGACUAUUAUUAUUUGUCGACGAGAAGUCAAAACAUCCACAAAAAUUAGAGGGGGAGAGAAAAUAAAUUUACCAAAUUAAGCCCAUGACACAUGUUGAGACUUCACCUUCAACCCAAGCUUGAAAGAAAAUUAGCCACUCAUAAUUGAACUAGGGGCAAAAUGGGAAUUUAUUAAAAUACGAAGAAAAUACAAGAUGGAGAAGGAAUUACAGAAAAUGGAUCCCAAAAAUGGAUUCAGAGAUAUCAAAUUAGGGGGGGGAGGCCCCCUUUUUAUAGAUACAUGGAGUAAAUCAUGGCCAUCGGAUUAAAAACAGUUUGGACGCUCAGGAUUGCGCCACGUCAUCAGUCAACAGUUUGACCACGCGGAUGAACAGUAACACGGUUUGACCCGACUUUGAACAGUAACGCGGUUUGACCCGGAUGAACAGUAACGCGGUUUGGUUGAAAAUAAUCCUGUGUGAUGCAUGCACCGUACGCGAGAUUUUUUGUCCACUGAUAUGCUGCCACGUCACCAUCAACAGUACAUGUGAAUAGUGCCAUUUUUCCUUUUAUGCUCCUCCUAAGGUUUUCGACCGUCCUGAGUUCAAAAGUGAUGUCCGUUUUGCCGUCUGAUCUCUCCUUUAUUGUGAAAUGACUAUAAUGCCCCUAAAAUACAUAAAAUACUUAAUUAAAAUAAAACACAUGUAAUUAAAUCACAAGAAGGUUAAAUAUAUAAAAGUAAGGGUUGUUAGUAAGACUUAAAAUGUAAAAUGACGGUUUUCUCCUUUAUAAAUAUGCAUUUUCUAACACUCAACAAUUAGGUCCAAUAAAUAUGCAGGAACCCCCUGUGGAUACUCGAUCAUCAGGAUCACCAGCAUAGUUGGCAUCAGAAAAGGCUUGUAGUUCUAUUGAACCAGAUGAAUAAAGCAGACCAUGAGUGGUUGUACCCUUCAAAUACCGCAAGAUGCGUUUAACUGCACACCAAUGAGUUGUUGUAGGACAAUGCAUGUAUUGACAAACCUGAUUAACGACAAAUGAAAUAUCCGGACGAGUGAUUGUAAGAUACUGCAAAGCACCAACAACACUACGAUAUUCGGUGGGAUUUGAAAGUAAAUCACCAUCAAACAGACUGAGACGACGACCACUCACUGCUGGUGUUGUCAUAGGCUUUGAAUGGAGGAACACAGUGCGAUGUAAAAGAUCUAGAAUAUACUUGGUUUGACAUAAGUUGAGCCCCAUUGCUGUUUGAGUAGCUUCAAUACCCAGAAAAUAAUGUACAGGACCAAGAUCUUUCAUAGAUAAUAAUUUGCUCAUAUGAUGUAUCAUUUGAGAAAUAUGAUAUGAACUAUUUCCCGUAAUUAAAAUAUCAUCAACAUAGAUGAGUAAAUAUAGAAGCAUUGAAUUAUGUGAAGAAAUAAAUAGAGAAUAGUCUGCUAGUGAUUCAUGAAAGCCCAAUUGUUCUAAAUGACUAGAGAAACAUUGAAACCAUGCCCUAGGAGCUUGUUUAAGGCCGUAGAGAGAUCGGCGAAGCUUACACACAAAAGUAGGAUAUUGUGGAUCAAUAAAGCCAAUAGGUUGGCGCAUAUAGACAUCCUCCUGUAAAUAACCAUGCAGGAAAGCAUUUUGCACAUCUAACUGUCGAAUAGGCCAGCUAUUGGUAACAUAUAUAGCUAAAAUGAGACGAAUGGUAUUGUGAUUAACCACUGGACUGAACGUCUCACCAAAAUCAAGGCCAGGUUGUUGAUGAAAACCAUUAGCAACUAAACGAGCUUCAUAACGCUCAAUACUUCCAUCAACUUUUUGCUUAAUUCGAUACACCCAUUUAUUUGGAAGGACAUUGUAAGAUGGAUGUGGAGGAACUAAUACCCAAGUACCAGCUCUUUGAAGAGCAUUAAAUUCAUCACCCAUUGCCUGUCGCCAACGAGAUUCCUUAUUUGCAUGUACAAAACCAUUAGGCUCAACAGCAUCAUUAGUAACUACAUUUGCAUAUUUUAGGUUUGGUUUCACAAUACCGGCUCUUGCUCGAGUGACCAUUGGAUGAGAAGAUAAUGCAUCCGAAGUAAUAUUAUCACAGGGCAUCGAUGGUGUCAGUGUAGGUGAAGAUAAUGAUUCUGGAAUUGUAUUAUUACUUGAAUUGGUAGGGGUCGAAUUAAGGCUAAGAGAAUUUGUAUUUGAGAUGAGUGGAGUGGAGGAAGAUGAAGAGGCACUUGAAUGUAAUGAUGGAGAAUUAAUUGGAGAUGAUAGGGAAUGUGGUAAAGGUGAAUUAAAUAAAGAUGGUGACGUGGCUUGGGAAGGAGAUUGUGAUGUAGGUUUUGUUGGAGCUGAAUGUGAAGUAUUAGCAUUAAUCCAAAGAAUAUUGAGUCCUGUAGAAUCUGACAUUGAAGUACUCACCCCCGGAGGCCUAGCAGUAACAUGGUCAACGAAAGGAAAUUUAUUUUCAUUCGAAAGGAAAUUUAUUUUCAUUAAAAAGAACAUGACGAGAUAUAAAUACAGUGCCUGAAGGAAUAUGCAAACAACGAUAUCCAUGUUGAUUGAAUGAGUAUCCCAAGAAAACACACUCUUUAGAAUGAAAUUGUAAUUUAUUUGAAUUGUAAGGGCGAAGAUAAGGGUAACAUGCACAUCCAAAGGUCUUUAAAAAAUCAUAUUGAGGAGUUUUAGAAAAUAGUAAAGAGUACGGUACUCGAAAUUUUAAAGAUUGAGAUGGUAGACGAUUAAUUAAAUAUACAGAUGUAUAAAAAGCUUCAGUCCAAUAAGUAGUAGGCAUGGAGGCAUGUGCAAGUAAAGUUAAGCCCAUGUCAACAAUUUGUCUAUGUUUACGUUCAGCAAUACCAUUUUGUUCAGGAUGAUGAGGACAUGUGAGAUGAUGAUUAAUGCCAUGAGUAUUUAGAUAAUCCUUAAAUUGAUGAUUUAACAUAUUCACCACCACCAUCAGUUUGAAGUGACUUAAUAGUAGUGGAAAACAUAUUUUCGACCAACGAUUUAAAAGUUUUAAAAAUUAUAAAAACACCAGAUUUCAAUCGCAUAGGAUAAAGCCAUACAUAUCUGGAAAAAUUAUUAAUAAAGAUAACAUAAUAUUUAUAACCAGAAAUAGAACGAAUAAGAGAGGUCCAAACAUCAGAAUGUAUUAAUUCCAAAGGAGAAUGAGAGACUGAAAAAGAACCUGUAAAAGGUAAUUUCUGACUCUUUCCUAAAGGACAUGACGAACAAAAAAAUAAAGAUCGAGAUCCCAAAAUGAGUAGCUUAUUAAAAGAUAUAAGUUUAUUUAAAACUAUGGAUGAAGGAUGUCCAAGCCGUGAAUGCCAAAUUCGAGCAUCACUACGAACACCAACAUAAGAAAAUGGAUGACUAGGUUGAAAAAUUCGACCAGGAAAUAGAUAAAGACCAUUACUGCUCGGUCCGCGGAAAAGUGUCUUCUUCGUUGCCAGAUCCUGUUCAACAAAAUAAUCAGGAAAGAAGGUGAAACUACAAUGAUUGUCAUUAGCAAAUUUAUGAACGGAUAAAAUAUUAUGGGAAGCUUGUGGACAAUGAUGAACAUCAUUUAAAAGAAAAGUGGAAGAAUUAGCAGAUAAGUAAGAAUGACCAAUGGAUUUAAUAGGCAAACCUGAACCAUUGACGACACCACUGAUGGUAUCCUGACCAUUGUAAUCACAAGAAUGCAUUAAAUUCCCAUUAUCUGGAGUUAUAUGAGCAUUAGCACCAGUAUCUGUUAACCAAUUUGGGGAACUAAAAGAUGUUGAUGUAGAAAUCAUUGCAGAAAGCCGUUGGGGAGGGAUACGACCCUCAUAUGCAUGAUUCAUGCGAUUGUAGCAAUCAAUAGCUGAGUGACCCAUUUUCUGACAGAUUUGGCAUUGAAUCCAAUUACUAGAAGGAAAAGGACCCAUUGGGUGUUUGUUGAUAGGACCAUUACCAGGAUUGAAAUUUGGCGAAGAGGAAAAAUUCCCAUGUCCUGGAGUUGGCAGUAGCCCUCUAUUUUGAGAACCAAAACCAGUAUGAUUAGAACCACUAGACCAUCCAGUAAAACUGUUACCACCAUUGAAACCCCCAGAAAAAUUAUUAACACCACCACGACCACCAUUAUUACGCAGGAAGCCACGACCACCUCUAUUAUUUGGGCCACCUCGAGUGGCUUUCAUGACAACUGUUGAGUCGGAUGGAUAAAGAUAUUGUUUAAUAGAAGUGAGACGUCGCUCAGCACUCAAAAGUAAAGCUUCAAGACCAGCAUAACUAAUAGGAGUUUCACGAGCUUGAAUAGAGGCAACUGUAUUUUCAUAUAAAGGACCAACAUUACUCAUAAUGAUGGAGACCAAGUCUUCAUCAGAAAUAGGACUACCAGAGAGAGAGAGAUUGUCAGCAAUAGAGUGAAUUUUAUCUAGAAAAUUAGAAAUAGAAAGAUCACCACGUUUAAUAGUAACUAGCUUAGUGCGCAACUCGACGAUUCGUUGUUGAUUUUGGGAAGCAAAACAUUGUUCUAAAGAAGACCAGACAGCACGUGCAGAAGUGUAACGUGCAACAGUACUUAGCAAGGAUUGAGAAAGAGAGCCAUUAAUCCAAGAGAGAACAAGUUGAUCGUUCUGAAUCCAUUCCUCAUAUGCUGGAUUAAUUAUAUCAGUUACUUCUCCAUUUUCGUCUUUUAGAAAAGGAGCAGGACAAAUGCUUGUGCCAUCAACAUAUUUUUGCAAAUUACGACUGCGAAGAAGAGGCACAAUUUGAGCAAGCCACAAAGGAUAAUUAUUUCGGUCAAGACGAACAUUGACUGAAUUGGUAAUAUUAGAGGGCAGAGACGAAGAACUAGCAUGGGAAGUGGAAGAAGAACUCAUCAUGAAAAGAUUGAGAAUUUAACACAAAGGUCGUUAGACUUAUAAAGCUCUGAUACCAUAGAACAAUAAAACUCUGGAGGACGAUUUGUAAGCCUCAGUUUUCAAUGAGGUUCAUAUCACAUAUACUUCACUUAUAUACAAGCUAAGAAUACAUAUGAUAAACAUUAGCUUACAAGAUAACUACAAGGAUAAUUACAAGACUAACGAUAACUACAAAGAUAAUUACAAGACUAACGAUAAGAAUAUUUUAAGUUUUAUCUUUAUCGUUAUUAGUUUCUUCUUCAUGCAAAUUGGGGCACGAAGUGAAUAAGCAAUGGGAUUAUUGGGAUCACUUGAAAAGAAAAAAUCUGAAAAUCCUGUAAAAGUUUGUGAUUUUGCUAAAUGAUUACACUAUCCUUAUGAGAUGAUUAAUUUUUCACGACGGUUAACAGAAAAGUGAAUAUCUAUUGUGCUUUAUAAAUUUUAGGUGAAUAAUUGUAAAAGAAAAAAGCGUUCGUAUAUUUUUAAUAAAAUAUGAAUCUUCGAAUAGUUGGUGGAUACUUAAAAGCCAUAUUACCUACACAAGUCAGUUAAGCUAGCCUGGAUAUCCUCCAGAAUAGAAAGGUGGUCAAUAAGUUGGGCAAAGGGGAAUCUCAUUUUCCCGCGCAAUUGUAAAUAGUGCAAGCCUUCCUAACAUAUUAAUAUAAUUUUAAUAAUAAUAAAUUAUUAUGUCAACCUAUAAUCCUAUUUGACUAAUCCCAUAGUCCUCAAGAAUAAGCAAUCUUAUGUCACUUUAACUCCCCAAAAUUAGGAUAGGGUAUAAUUUGUUUCAAAUAGUCCAAUCUGAUAAGAGUCAAAUAAUAUUGUGGAAAUAAAACAAUCAAUCAAAUGAUUAAUUGUUGCCAUCUUAAUUAUUGAUUAAAAAGGAUUGUUUGUCAAUUUUAUUCCUAUUUUAUGUUAAUUGUAUCAAAUACUUGUAUAAAUUCAGCCUUUGUGCUCUUGAAUGAAUAAGAGUGAAAUUUAUCUUUUCUCUAUAAUUCCAAAAAGGGAAAAUAUCCACCGUCCACCUGUUUUUUUCAACUUUUUUAAAAAUACACAAUUUUUUUUUUUGGCUAGAUCCACCUAAAGUUACAUUUUAUUUCACUUUUCUACUUCCGUUUGGAAUCUGUUAAGAAAACUAACAGAAACUUAAAAAAAUAACAAUUUUACCCCCCAAAACGAAAAUUACAAUUUCACCUUAAAAAUUACCAAAAAUAAUUAGAUUAAUUCUAAUUAUUUUUCCCAUCGGUCAAUAAAGAAAUUAAUUCCACAAACAUCAAAUGCAAGGUUUUUUUUUAAAUAUGUCUAUAAUUAGAAUGCUAAAUUAUAAUAUUAGUAUUAAAAAUAGCCAAUCUUGCAAACCAUCAAUUAAAUUUAAGAUAAGUAGAGUUUUAUUAUUCAUUGAAUUAUAAUCUCUAGUAGUUAAGACUUUUUUGUACUUCAUUAACGUACCAAUAAUGAUAUUCAUUAUUAAAUCUGAUUAUUUUUGAGAUUUUUUAGAGUGAAAUUGUAAUUUUCAUUUGGGGGUAAAAUGGUCAUUUUUUAAAAUUUCGUUAGUUUUCUUAACGGAUUCUAAACGGAAGUGGAAAAGUGAAACAAAAUGUAACUUUAGGUGGAUUCCAGAAAAAAAAGAAUUGUGUAUUUUUGAGAAAGUUGAGAAAAACAGGUGGACGGUAGAUAUUUUCCCUUCCAAAAAUUUUUAAUAGGAUUAGAGCGUGUUUGAGAGUCCUCAAAUUCAUGGGUUUAAGCUUAGCCAUCAUGUCAAUAAUGGAUUUAUGGAGUACGGUGGUCUAAGUGAGAGUAAUGUGAGUUCCUUUUCAAUUGAUUUUCAGUUUCUACAUUUGGGAAAAAAGAAAAGAAAAAAAAGGUUGUUCGGCCGCACCAUUAAUAACCACUUCCACCAUCACAAAGGAGAUAAUAUCAAAAGAAAGAGGGAAUGAAAGAGAAUCCUCAAAAUUGAUAUUUUUCUUGACAAGAUCAAAGGAAUGGUUUUCUAAAUAACGGAAGAUUUCUUUCAAAAAGAUCAAAGGAACGGCUUUCAUAUUAAAAGAAUUCCUGGAUUAAAGGGUUUUACUAAUGUUUUGCAUUGGCUUAAAAAAAAGUGUGCAUCAAAAUAAUUAGAAGAUUUCUUAGACAAAAAGGAAUGCUUUCUAAUUAGUUACACCACAUUUGAAUGAGAUUGAAAAUAAGAAUUUAACGAUUUACAAUUUUUAGUGCUUCGGCCCGAAUAUUAAAGGUUAUGAGUUGAGAUAAGGCUUAAGAAAUCAAGGUCCAUUCCAUUCUGAGGCAAGGUUAGGGCCUUACCAAAACCUUUAACCCAAUCCUUGACCCUUAAGUUAAUUUGAAAAUUAAAAAAUAUGUAACACUUAAAAUUAUUAAAAUAGACACACCAAGUAGUCACAAUUGUACCUUAAGUGUAUUUGUCAUUAUUUCAUAUUAAUUUAGUUAUUUUGUAUUUGAAUUAUUUAUUUAUUGUUAGUUUGGUUAAUAUGAUAAUCUUGUUAGAUUGUUACAUGUUGUAUUGUUAUUAAAACUAAAUAAAAAUAAAUUAUUAAAUUCCUUACAAAUAAAUUCAACAUAAAAAUGGAACAGUGAGUCAGUGAUAAUACAUUAUUUUAAUUAAACAUUAAAAAUAGGAGUCCCAUAAAAAUUUUUUUUUUUAAAAAGCCUAAGGUGGAUCCACUAGUCUACCUAACCAACAUCUUUGGGUCCGCCUAAGUUACAUUUAACGUAACUUAUGAUUGACUCGCAAAAUAUUAAUUAGCUUCAUAUACGCUAUUUUAUUUAUAAUUUAUUCAUAAGUAUUAUAAAAUAAAGUAUAAGAAACUCAACAAAAUUUUACAAUACAAAAUAUUUGAGAAUAAUUAUAAAUAAAUUGUAAAUAAUAUAGAGUAUAGGAGGCUAAAUGAUAUUUUGCGGGUCAGCCGGUACCAGGGUAAAUGUAACUUAAACUCAACUUUAAGUACAACAGCUACUCAUUUAUUAGCACGCAGACAAAAAAGUUUUGCUAUCCGGCUAAGGCAAACAUCAAUUCAAAACUGCCCAAAAAGGGUAAAUCUAGAUUUUUGCCUCGCCAGGGCAAAGCAGUAUCAUCACCAAAUAAAUCCCCGCAUAAUUGUAACAUUAAUCGUAAUUAUACUUACAUGUACGUAAUUCAAAGAUCUUCUAGGCCAUUGACAAAGAGAGGAGCAAAAACCUCCAUUUGUUGCUUCUUCAAAACGACACCAAUCUCAACACCACCACCUCCAUCUUUGCUCUCCACCAAAGAAAUAGCCCCUGUCCUGUCUACUGACACAAUCUCCACCUUCUUAGGCCUCCCCCACCCGAAAUCGGACCCGUAGUCAUCAAAACGGUUUGACCCGGCUGCCGUUAGCAUUACAUGUCCUUUCUCUUUCAACAUCGCAAUUGUCUUUACCAUCUUAUCCUCUGAUCCUUGCACCCCAUCCCCCUUCAGCACUUUAAUCAUUUCACUUAAUUUCUCUGCAACAACAGCAACCCCAUCGUCCCGUAUCAUAUCACUUGCUUUUGCUUCCCCAAUUACACUUCCAAUACAAUUUCCAAAAUAAUUAGUAGGAAUUGGAGGAUCCAGACGGCCCCUGCAAUCCCCUCCCACCGCAAACUUAACGGUUGUGUUAGCUUCUACUCGUUUGGCUAUAAUCUGGCAAACGUACGCGUGAGCACAUGUAAGCACAAAAGUCGAUAAAUGAAGUUGUCUUGAUUCCCCAGCUUCAUUAUUGAUUUUGUUAACCUUAUCUCUAAGCUUCUUUAUGACUUCACCACUCAAUUCAAAUGUUUUUCGAACAAAGUCGGAGCUUCCUUCUUUAUCAACCGCUGUAGCCAAAACCUUCAAGCUUCGUGUGUCGGACGAUCCGGUAAAAUCCAUCCAGUGCUUAACGUACACCAUGUCGAUCCCAUCGGGAUCUUUGAUGACCGUACGGUCAAAACAUGGGGUAAGUUCCGGUGCCAAAGAAGGAUUAGCGUUGUGAACGUCUGAUGAUUGAAUUUGUUUGGAAAAAUAAGCCCAUGAUUUGAUAAACAUCGUACAACUUUUCCCAUCAAGAAGCGAAUGGUGAUACGAGACACCAAUUGAGAAGCCUUGAUUAGGAAAAUAUGUUAUUUGGAUGGCGAUUACCUCGGCUUUGUCGUCCGAUAUGGAUAACUGGGGCACCAAAGGAUUAAACUCUGCAGCAUCACGAAUCCCGCUCCCAGAUAGGAGAGCAAAAUCGGAGUUGGACUCGGCGAGUGUGAGCGAAACGCCGUCGUCUGGAAAGUAGUAGAUGGCUGGCUUAGCGGCAUCCGGAGGCCACAUCAAGUGACCAGCGAGCGGGGUGUAGUGAAGGAGAGUGAGGGAGAGGGCGUGUUUCAGUUUUGGGAGGAUUGCUGAGUUGAAUGAAUCGCUGGUUAACUCAGUGAUUUGAUACAAGAAGAGGCGUUCAACAGGAGGGAACUUGAACCAGUAAGUGUCGAAGUAGGUGAGCGGAAGAGUGAACGGAGCCGCGGUUGUUGAGUUGGAGGAGAACGGGGUGAGUUUAGUAACCUCGUGAACUUUGACUUUGCUAUUGUUUUGGGUUUCCGCCAUGAGGCUGAUGAUCAGUAGAGAUGAAAUCAGAUGA
RNAcentral lists this long non-coding RNA (27585 nucleotides) under Citrus x clementina. RNAcentral's name for it is "Citrus clementina (C. clementina) long non-coding RNA (CCLE_LNC000556)". The stretch from base 16728 to 16831 matches the Rfam family "Plant small nucleolar RNA R71". Lineage: Eukaryota; Viridiplantae; Streptophyta; Magnoliopsida; Sapindales; Rutaceae. The record is from RNAcentral.